UACGUCGGUGGCAAGCGUUGUCCGGAUUUACUGGGCGUAAAGAGCGCGCAGGCGGUCAGAUAAGUCGAAUGUGAAAGCCCCCGGCUCAACCGGGGGAGGUUGUCCGAUACUGCUAAACUGGAGGGCAGUAGAGGGUGGUGGAAUUCCGGGUGUAGUGGUGAAAUGCGUAGAGAUCCGGAGGAACACCAGUGGCGAAAGCGGCCACCUGGACUGUACCUGACGCUGAAACGCGAAAGCUAGGGGAGCGAACGGG
RNAcentral lists this ribosomal RNA (253 nucleotides) under uncultured bacterium. RNAcentral's name for it is "partial 16S ribosomal RNA". It matches the Rfam family "Bacterial small subunit ribosomal RNA", at positions 524 to 776 of the family's 1533-position model. The record is from RNAcentral.